CAGCAGCCGCGGAAAUACGAAGGGUGCAAGCGUUAAUCGGAAUUACUGGGCGUAAAGCGUGCGUAGGCGGUUUGUUAAGUCUGCUGUGAAAUCCCCGGGCUCAACCUGGGAACUGCAUUUGUGACUGGCAAGCUAGAGUGUGGCAGAGGGGGGUGGAAUUCCGCGUGUAGCAGUGAAAUGCGUAGAGAUCUGGAGGAAUACCGGUGGCGAAGGCGGCCCCCUGGACAAAGACUGACGCUCAGGUGCGAGAGCGUGGGGAGCAAACAGGAUUAGAUACCCGAGUAGUCCCUGUCUCUUAUAC
This 301-nucleotide ribosomal RNA is filed under the name uncultured bacterium. RNAcentral's name for it is "partial 16S ribosomal RNA". It matches the Rfam family "Bacterial small subunit ribosomal RNA", at positions 509 to 807 of the family's 1533-position model. The record is from RNAcentral.